Molecule: long non-coding RNA, 1398 nt
Organism: Hemicordylus capensis (graceful crag lizard)
Lineage: Eukaryota; Metazoa; Chordata; Lepidosauria; Squamata; Cordylidae
Exons: 3
Source: RefSeq, a predicted model, not a curated record
CCCCCUCAGCUUAAUUCCUAGUCACCAGCUCUUCAGUGCCUGUCCUCUUCUUUGAGUAGCUUUCUUCCUCCAGAGCACUCGACUAAUACUCCAGCCAACUCCAUCUGUGAGCCUGCUCAAACCCUCUAUUUAUAUUCCAGUUUCAGAAUGUUCAGGUAGGCCUGGCCAAUCCUAGCCCAGGUGUUACCUUUUAAAUUGUUUGGCUGAAGCUUCCAACUGGACUCCCUUCUACUUUAAUCUGAAUGGAAGGAACCUUUCCCUGGGGCGGCUUCUCACUGGACACCAAAACCCCUAAGCUUUGUCAAAACUACAGCCUUUAAAGAAAAGCCUCUGCGGAAGCCAUUUGUCCUGCAUGCGUGAAGCUAUCAGGAGUCACAGCAAACCAGCAUGUACACUGCAGAGUAAAGAACAAAGAGGCGUAACCAGGACAAUGUUGUGACUGCAGCUUUGGACGGGUCGAUGCAAAUCCCUCUGGACUCAGUUGCUCUUGCUCUCAGUCUCAAGCAACUGUCCGUAGAAGCAGAGCCUCCAUCUCUCCUCAUCCAGCACACAAGUGGGGAGGUCACAUAGCCAAGGCCUCCUCGUAGCAGAGCCCCCUAAGGUGUCUGCUGCAGCUUCUGACCUGGGAAGUUAAACCCCUUCUGUGCAAAAGCAAGACGGAUGGAGAGGGAGAGAGAGAGGCCGUUCCUCCACAGCCUGUGCAACAUUCAGGACCCUCUAGUGGACAAAGGAGAUCAGUGCAGAAUUUCUGUAACCUGUAUGCCUAAUUAGCAUAGGAUAAAAAGUGCCAUAGGUUUCGAUCAGAUCUUCUCUCAGAUAAAUACACAAUUGCAGCUUUAAUUAAAAAGUUGUGCUUUUUUCCUUCUAUUACUGCUGUUAAUAUGUCAGGCAAAAAUCUCUUCCCCAAUUAUUGUUGGUAGAUAUCUAGAACAAAUACAAGUGUUAGAGAAAAGAUGAAAUAUGUGAUGGUUGCUUGCGCUGAUGGGAUUUGUGAUUGCUCUGUAAAACAUGCUUUAACAAAAAUAUUCGCCCUGCUUUAGUUCUCGUGCUCAAGUUGGUGUGAGAUUAAGUUAACAAUCAACUCUUUGUUCCAUCUAUCUCUUUGAGACAGCACAUGACCAGUUUGCUGUGGCUGAGACGAAGCUCAAGGCCAACUUGCCAGGCAAAAGUGAAACUUAAACAGGCCUGCUCUUCCUCGAGGGAAGGAGGGGGGAGAAGGGGGAAACAUGAGAAACUGUCUCAGCAAAUCAAGGCCUGUAGGAACCAGUUGAGCUAAACUGCGCAGAUGCAAGAAUCAAUUAUAAACGAUAUGCUAUAUAUAUAGAAUGUUGCCCUAAGGUUCGGGGCGGCCGCCUUUCUUGAGAGCUCUGUGUCAUUGCAAUAAAGUUUGAUUUGAAA